Paramuricea clavata is the source of this 274-nucleotide non-coding RNA. NCBI's taxonomy places the organism in Eukaryota, Metazoa, Cnidaria, Anthozoa, Malacalcyonacea, Plexauridae. The record is from the annotation of a GenBank genome assembly.
AAGAAACGUAUGAUUUUUCGCAGUUUUAAAAGCAAGGAAAUCAGUCGGAAGUUUAGUACGUCUCCAUUUUCUUUCUGCUUUCCUUCUCAAACGCUUUGCACAUUUAAUCUCAUCAUAUCUUAAUAUAUUGCUAGCCUCUGUUAUGUUGUACAUUUUUUCCAGUAUAAUUUCAUUUUAUUUACUUUGAUAAAAAUAUUUUAAUGGUAUUUGCCAUCGUUUAGAAAUAAAACUUGUUUAAUGCGACGUCCGCGUCGUAAGUUCGCGUUGUAGAUCU